AUACGUAGGGAGCGAGCGUUGUCCGGAUUUACUGGGUGUAAAGGGAGCGUAGGCGGGAUGGCAAGUCAGAUGUGAAAACUAUGGGCUCAACCCAUAGACUGCAUUUGAAACUGUUGUUCUUGAGUGAAGUAGAGGUAAGCGGAAUUCCUGGUGUAGCGGUGAAAUGCGUAGAUAUCAGGAGGAACAUCGGUGGCGAAGGCGGCUUACUGGGCUUUUACUGACGCUGAGGCUCGAAAGCGUGGGGAGCGAACAGGAGUAGAUACCCUGGUAGUCCACGCUGUAAACGAUGAUUACUAGGUGUGGGGGGACUGACCCCUUCCGUGCCGCAGUUAACACAAUAAGUAAUCCACCUGGGGAGUACGGCCGCAAGGUUGAAACUCAAAUGAAUUGGCGGG
Molecule: ribosomal RNA, 395 nt
Filed under: uncultured bacterium
Lineage: Bacteria
Description: partial 16S ribosomal RNA
Rfam family: Bacterial small subunit ribosomal RNA
Source: RNAcentral